RNAcentral lists this unclassified non-coding RNA (332 nucleotides) under soil metagenome. Its description in RNAcentral is "partial contains 5.8S ribosomal RNA, internal transcribed spacer 2, and large subunit ribosomal RNA". The stretch from base 1 to 120 matches the Rfam family "5.8S ribosomal RNA", at positions 35 to 154 of the family's 154-position model. The record is from RNAcentral.
GAUGAAGAACGCAGCGAAAUGCGAUAAGUAGUGUGAAUUGCAGAAUUCAGUGAAUCAUCGAAUCUUUGAACGCACAUUGCGCCCUUUGGUAUUCCUUAGGGCAUGCCUGUUCGAGCGUCAUUUAAACCUUCAAGCUGAGCUUGGUGUUGGGUGACUGUCCGCUUCACGGCGGACUCGCCUCAAAAUUAUUGGCGGCCGGUACAUUGGCUUCGAGCGCAGCAGAAACGCGAACUCGGGCCCGUCGUAUUGGCUCCCAGAAGCUAUCUUCACAAUUUUGACCUCGGAUCAGGUAGGGAUACCCGCUGAACUUAAGCAUAUCAAUAAGCGGAGGA